GACGAACGCUGGCGGCGUGCUUAACACAUGCAAGUCGAACGGAAAGGCCCUGCUUUUGUGGGGUGCUAGAGUGGCGAACGGGUGAGUAACACGUGAGUAACCUGCCCUUGACUUUGGGAUAACUUCAGGAAACUGGGGCUAAUACCGGAUAGGAGCUCCUGCUGCAUGGUGGGGGUUGGAAAGUUUCGGCGGUUGGGGAUGGACUCGCGGCUUAUCAGCUUGUUGGUGGGGUAGUGGCUUACCAAGGCUUUGACGGGUAGCCGGCCUGAGAGGGUGACCAGCCACAUUGGGACUGAGGUACGGCCCAGACUCCUACGGGAGGCAGCAGUGGGGAAUAUUGCACAAUGGGCGGAAGCCUGAUGCAGCAACGCCGCGUGCGGGAUGACGGCCUUCGGGUUGUAAACCGCUUUCGCCUGUGACGAAGCGUGAGUGACGGUAAUGGGUAAAGAAGCACCGGCUAACUACGUG
Molecule: ribosomal RNA, 468 nt
Filed under: uncultured bacterium
Lineage: Bacteria
Description: partial 16S ribosomal RNA
Rfam family: Bacterial small subunit ribosomal RNA
Source: RNAcentral